GACAUUGUAGUCUUAAUAAUUGCUAACAUGAAUUUAAUAAUUGCUAACAUCAUUUGAUUCUUUAGAUGGCCGCCAAGAACGAGUCAUGUUUGACAAAAUUACAUCUCGAAUCCAGAAGCUUUGUUAUGGACUUAAUAUGGAUUUUGUUGAUCCUGCUCAGAUCACCAUGAAAGUAAUCCAAGGCUUGUACAGUGGGGUCACCACAGUGGAACUAGAUACUCUGGCUGCUGAAACAGCUGCAACCUUGACUACUAAGCACCCUGACUAUGCUAUCCUGGCAGCCAGGAUCGCUGUCUCUAACUUGCACAAAGAAACAAAGAAAGUGUUCAGUG
This 332-nucleotide small RNA is filed under the name Pan troglodytes (chimpanzee). RNAcentral's name for it is "retained intron". Lineage: Eukaryota; Metazoa; Chordata; Mammalia; Primates; Hominidae. The record is from RNAcentral.